UGUGGGGCCAGGAACAAUCUCUCCAUGAUCUUUGCAAAAACUUUCUUCACCAGAGACAAGGAAAACCAAGAUUGUGAAAACAGAAUCUAAGUGGAGUUUCGCUAUUGUUGCCCAGGCUGGAGUUGCAGUGAGCCGAAAACCUGCCAUUGCACUCCAGCCUGCGUGUCACAGCGAGACUCUGAGUCAAAAAACAAAAAUAAAAG
This 203-nucleotide long non-coding RNA is filed under the name Homo sapiens (human). Its description in RNAcentral is "LNC_000419". The record is from RNAcentral. Lineage: Eukaryota; Metazoa; Chordata; Mammalia; Primates; Hominidae.